RNAcentral lists this non-coding RNA (30 nucleotides) under Rattus norvegicus (Norway rat). The record is from RNAcentral. Lineage: Eukaryota; Metazoa; Chordata; Mammalia; Rodentia; Muridae.
UAUUUAAAUGUUCCUAGAACACGUUUUUUC